AUUGAACGCUGGCGGCAGGCUUAACACAUGCAAGUCGAGCGGUAACAGAGAGAAGCUUGCUUCUCUGCUGACGAGCGGCGGACGGGUGAGUAAUGCCUAGGAAUCUGCCUAGUAGUGGGGGAUAACUUGCCGAAAGGUAAGCUAAUACCGCAUACGUCCUACGGGAGAAAGGAGGGGACCUUCGGGCCUUUCGCUAUUAGAUGAGCCUAGGUCGGAUUAGUUAGUUGGUGAGGUAAUGGCUCACCAAGACCGCGAUCCGUAACUGGUCUGAGAGGAUGGUCCGUCACACUGGAACUGAGACACGGUCACGACUCCUACGGGAGGCAGCAGUGGGGAAUAUUGGACAAUGGGGGGAACCCUGAUCCAGCCAUGCCGCGUGUGUGAAGAAGGUCUUAGGAUUGUAAAGCACUUUAAGUUGGGAGGAAGAGCAGUUAACUAAUAUUUGACUGUUUUGACGUUACCGACAGAAUAAGCACCGGCUAACUUCGUGCCAGCCGCCGCCGUAA
Molecule: ribosomal RNA, 506 nt
Filed under: uncultured bacterium
Lineage: Bacteria
Description: partial 16S ribosomal RNA
Rfam family: Bacterial small subunit ribosomal RNA
Source: RNAcentral